Molecule: long non-coding RNA, 741 nt
Organism: Rosa chinensis
Lineage: Eukaryota; Viridiplantae; Streptophyta; Magnoliopsida; Rosales; Rosaceae
Exons: 3
Source: RefSeq, a predicted model, not a curated record
UGUAGAGCUGAAAUUACCAAGUUGAUCACCCGAAAUGGAUGGUACUACGAAGCCUGCCCCAUGUGCUACAAACAACUGAAGCAAACACCAAACAACAACUUGCUUUCCUGUUCAAAGCAUGGCUUCCAGACUGCACAACCAACCUUCAGAAUGGAGGUGCACCUCGAAGAUAAAAGUGAUUCAACCUCAGCCAUAUUAAUAGGAAAACCAGCAGAUGUUCUCUUUGGAGUCACUUGCCAAAAGUUAGUGAUCGAAGAAGGUUACACAGACCAAGACAACCCUCCAGAACAAAUCUUCAAGAGCAUUGGCCAAUUCAAAAUCUGGGAAAUCAUAUUAAAAGACCGAGAUGACCUGAAAAUCAAAGCUGUCUAUCCAGACAUCCAACCAUCACCAGAAAAGAUGGUUACAAAUGUGACACCAGAACAUCAACCACCUUCAAAAAGAGCUUUGCAACUACCUAAAGAGUCAACUCAAAAAGAGCUCUUCAAAUUAGAAUCCAGCAAAAAAUAAAAAAGUACACAAGAAGAAGGCAAGAGCGCACAUGCCAAGCAAGAUUAGAAACUGCAGCUCCUUUUUUUGAAGACUGCCAACAGAAGAUCAGUGAAGCCAGUCAUCUACUUUCCGCUGACUACAUGACAUUCUUUGAACUGCAUCGCAUAAACCAUUUUUUGAAAAGAUAAUGGUUUUUACACUUUUAAGCAAUGUCAAUUAGCAGCGAAUGAAGCCAUGAACAUCCUUUUU